AGCAUAUAAGCAUCAUAAAGAUAUGAUAUCAUCCUAAAUUUGAAUUUAAAACUCUCAAGGAUUUAAGUUUGGAAUUGCAAUGAAAAUAUGUAUUUAAAUCAUACAUAUUUUCAUUGUGAUUCCAAAAUAUCCUUUUCCAUGGCAGUCUUGUCCUAUGUUAUUUGGGGGUUAAGGAUGUCCUAUGUUAUUUGGGGGGACACACUAAAUUUUAUUUAUGUAGAUAAAUUUUUAUAUUAUUCAAAUAAUUCAAUGGAGAAUUCUAUUAUUUAUAUUGAAAGUGUAUAUAUAUUACAUCUAUAAAUUC
RNAcentral lists this long non-coding RNA (304 nucleotides) under Androctonus crassicauda. Lineage: Eukaryota; Metazoa; Arthropoda; Arachnida; Scorpiones; Buthidae. The record is from RNAcentral.